RNAcentral lists this unclassified non-coding RNA (408 nucleotides) under Hevea brasiliensis (rubber tree). Lineage: Eukaryota; Viridiplantae; Streptophyta; Magnoliopsida; Malpighiales; Euphorbiaceae. The record is from RNAcentral.
GGCAAAUCAAAUGGCAAAUGAUUAAUUCUAGCAAGAACAAACUAUUGAUAAAGCACAAUCAUCCGACAAAAUAGAAGCAUUAGGAAAUGCUUUCAGACCUCUCUGUGCACCCACAAAUAUUAGCUAUUCAUUAAAGUUCUGAGCUUUGAGUAAUCAAGCAACUGGGUUUUUGGCACAAAUUGCCAAAUGCAAGAAAUAAGGGAAGAGGAGGAUUCAAGCCAAGAAAUAGAAAUGCAAUAAAUAGUAUAGCAUUUAAAAACAAAAUGUGAGAAGAACCAAUAGCCCGGCCAUGCUUUUUGGAGUGGCGGAUUCACUGGGCAAAGAAAUAAGACGCACAUGACAAAAGAAAAUCUGAGAUCUGAUACCAAAUCUUGAAAAACUAAAAUUAUAUAUAUAGUCGCAUUUGCA